Molecule: non-coding RNA, 45 nt
Filed under: Trichobilharzia regenti
Lineage: Eukaryota; Metazoa; Platyhelminthes; Trematoda; Strigeidida; Schistosomatidae
Source: RNAcentral
AUGCAGCUGACGAGUCCAAAAUAGGUCAAAAUGCGCAUCCUGGAU